GACGAACGCUGGCGGCGUGCCUAAUACAUGCAAGUCGAACGGUCUUUUCUAUGGAAGCUUGCUUCCACUGAGAAGAUAGUGGCGGACGGGUGAGUAACACGUGGGUAACCUGCCCAUAAGAGGGGGAUAACAUCCGGAAACGGGUGCUAAUACCGCAUAGUUUUCUUGAUCGCAUGAUUGAGAAAGGAAAGACGGCCUUUGUGCUGUCGCUUAUGGAUGGACCCGCGGCGUAUUAGUUAGUUGGUGAGGUAAUGGCUCACCAAGACGAUGAUACGUAGCCGACCUGAGAGGGUGAUCGGCCACAUUGGGACUGAGACACGGCCCAAACUCCUACGGGAGGCAGCAGUAGGGAAUCUUCCGCAAUGGACGAAAGUCUGACGGAGCAACGCCGCGUGAGUGAAGAAGGUUUUCGGAUCGUAAAACUCUGUUGUCAGAGAAGAACAAGUUGGAGAGUAACUGCUCCAGCCUUGACGGUAUCUGACCAGAAAGCCACGGCUAACU
Molecule: ribosomal RNA, 501 nt
Filed under: uncultured bacterium
Lineage: Bacteria
Description: bacterial SSU rRNA
Rfam family: Bacterial small subunit ribosomal RNA
Source: RNAcentral